This 2096-nucleotide ribosomal RNA is filed under the name Staphylococcus aureus VE08/02244ST1. RNAcentral's name for it is "bacterial LSU rRNA". It matches the Rfam family "Bacterial large subunit ribosomal RNA", at positions 3 to 2097 of the family's 2925-position model. The record is from RNAcentral. Lineage: Bacteria; Bacillati; Bacillota; Bacilli; Caryophanales; Staphylococcaceae.
UUAAGUUAUUAAGGGCGCACGGUGGAUGCCUUGGCACUAGAAGCCGAUGAAGGACGUUACUAACGACGAUAUGCUUUGGGGAGCUGUAAGUAAGCUUUGAUCCAGAGAUUUCCGAAUGGGGAAACCCAGCAUGAGUUAUGUCAUGUUAUCGAUAUGUGAAUACAUAGCAUAUCAGAAGGCACACCCGGAGAACUGAAACAUCUUAGUACCCGGAGGAAGAGAAAGAAAAUUCGAUUCCCUUAGUAGCGGCGAGCGAAACGGGAAGAGCCCAAACCAACAAGCUUGCUUGUUGGGGUUGUAGGACACUCUAUACGGAGUUACAAAGGACGACAUUAGACGAAUCAUCUGGAAAGAUGAAUCAAAGAAGGUAAUAAUCCUGUAGUCGAAAAUGUUGUCUCUCUUGAGUGGAUCCUGAGUACGACGGAGCACGUGAAAUUCCGUUGGAAUCUGGGAGGACCAUCUCCUAAGGCUAAAUACUCUCUAGUGACCGAUAGUGAACCAGUACCGUGAGGGAAAGGUGAAAAGCACCCCGGAAGGGGAGUGAAACAGAACCUGAAACCGUGUGCUUACAAGUAGUCAGAGCCUGUUAAUGGGUGAUGGCGUGCCUUUUGUAGAAUGAACCGGCGAGUUACGAUUUGAUGCAAGGUUAAGCAGUAAAUGUGGAGCCGUAGCGAAAGCGAGUCUGAAUAGGGCGUUUAGUAUUUGGUCGUAGACCCGAAACCAGGUGAUCUACCCUUGGUCAGGUUGAAGUUCAGGUAACACUGAAUGGAGGACCGAACCGACUUACGUUGAAAAGUGAGCGGAUGAACUGAGGGUAGCGGAGAAAUUCCAAUCGAACCUGGAGAUAGCUGGUUCUCUCCGAAAUAGCUUUAGGGCUAGCCUCAAGUGAUGAUUAUUGGAGGUAGAGCACUGUUUGGACGAGGGGCCCCUCUCGGGUUACCGAAUUCAGACAAACUCCGAAUGCCAAUUAAUUUAACUUGGGAGUCAGAACAUGGGUGAUAAGGUCCGUGUUCGAAAGGGAAACAGCCCAGACCACCAGCUAAGGUCCCAAAAUAUAUGUUAAGUGGAAAAGGAUGUGGCGUUGCCCAGACAACUAGGAUGUUGGCUUAGAAGCAGCCAUCAUUUAAAGAGUGCGUAAUAGCUCACUAGUCGAGUGACACUGCGCCGAAAAUGUACCGGGGCUAAACAUAUUACCGAAGCUGUGGAUUGUCCUUUGGACAAUGGUAGGAGAGCGUUCUAAGGGCGUUGAAGCAUGAUCGUAAGGACAUGUGGAGCGCUUAGAAGUGAGAAUGCCGGUGUGAGUAGCGAAAGACGGGUGAGAAUCCCGUCCACCGAUUGACUAAGGUUUCCAGAGGAAGGCUCGUCCGCUCUGGGUUAGUCGGGUCCUAAGCUGAGGCCGACAGGCGUAGGCGAUGGAUAACAGGUUGAUAUUCCUGUACCACCUAUAAUCGUUUUAAUCGAUGGGGGGACGCAGUAGGAUAGGCGAAGCGUGCGAUUGGAUUGCACGUCUAAGCAGUAAGGCUGAGUAUUAGGGAAAUCCGGUACUCAUUAAGGCUGAGCUGUGAUGGGGAGAAGACAUUGUGUCUUCGAGUCGUUGAUUUCACACUGCCGAGAAAAGCCUCUAGAUAGAAAAUAGGUGCCCGUACCGCAAACCGACACAGGUAGUCAAGAUGAGAAUUCUAAGGUGAGCGAGCGAACUCUCGUUAAGGAACUCGGCAAAAUGACCCCGUAACUUCGGGAGAAGGGGUGCUCUUUAGGGUUAACGCCCAGAAGAGCCGCAGUGAAUAGGCCCAAGCGACUGUUUAUCAAAAACACAGGUCUCUGCUAAACCGUAAGGUGAUGUAUAGGGGCUGACGCCUGCCCGGUGCUGGAAGGUUAAGAGGAGUGGUUAGCUUCUGCGAAGCUACGAAUCGAAGCCCCAGUAAACGGCGGCCGUAACUAUAACGGUCCUAAGGUAGCGAAAUUCCUUGUCGGGUAAGUUCCGACCCGCACGAAAGGCGUAACGAUUUGGGCACUGUCUCAACGAGAGACUCGGUGAAAUCAUAGUACCUGUGAAGAUGCAGGUUACCCGCGACAGGACGGAAAGACCCCGUGGA